AUGGAGUGGACUUGGAGGAUCCUAAUUUUGGUGGUCGUAGCUGCAGGUGCCCAGUCCCAGGUGCAGCUGGUGCAGUCUGGGGAUGAGAUGAAGAAGGCUGGGGCAUCAGUGAAAGUCUCCUGCAAGACUUGUGGAUACACCUACCUUCACCAGUUACUCUAUGCACUAGGUGCGCCAGGCCCAUGCACAAGGGCUUGAGUGGAUGGGAAGGAUGUGCCCUAGUGAUGGCAGCAUAAGCUACGCAGAGAAGUUCCAGGGCAGAGUCACCAUGACCAGGGACACAUCCACGAGCACAGCCUACAUGGAGCUGAGCAGCCUGAGAUCUGAAGACACGGCCAUGUAUUACUGUGGGAGAGA
Non-coding RNA from Homo sapiens (human), 357 nucleotides. The record is from the annotation of a RefSeq genome assembly. NCBI's taxonomy places the organism in Eukaryota, Metazoa, Chordata, Mammalia, Primates, Hominidae.